GACAAGUAUAUAAAGAAACUAUUAUGGAUGGUUAGCUAUAUAUUUCAAGAUAUUUAUAUCUAGUGAACAAUAUAAACUAGAAAUCAUAGAGAAAUCUAAUUAUAAGACAAAGUGAAUUGAAAUAUCUUAGUAACUUUAGUAAAAGAAAUCAAACGAGAUUGUUAUUUGGUGUCUUCCAAAUAGCAAAAGCCUUAAUAAAUAAUUAUUAAAUUUACCAUUAAAAUUUAUAUAAGAAAUAGUAAGUGGGUGUAUUUAUAUACCUUUUAACUAAAUCAAAUUAUUUAUAAAAUAUAUAUAAUAAUAUAUUUAAGUAUAACGGAAAAAAAUCUGUUGAAAAAUAGGGGAACCUUCCUCUAAGGCUAAAAAAAAUAUAUAAGCGAUAGAGUAACAGUACCGUGAGGGAAAUACCCUGAAAUAGUAGUUUUACAAGCAGCUCUAGUUAAAUUUUAAAUAAAUAAUAAGAGCGUACCUUUUGCAUAAUGGGUCAGCAAGUUAAUUUUAGAUGCAAGUAACAUCUCUUUUAUAAGCAUUUACAUAUAGUACAUUAUACAUACUAAAUAUAUAUAGUAGUUAUAAUAGUAUUAUAAAAUACGUAGUAUUUAGUACUCAAUGGAUAGAGACAUAAUAAGAUAUGUAUAAUGAUAUUAUGUAUAAUAUUGGUAUGUAAAUUUAUAAGUAAAAUUAGGAGGUAGAUACGUAGAUAAACCAAUUAUGAAAAAAUGAAUUAGUAUCUAGAAUUAGACCCGAAGGCUAGUGAUCUUACCAUGGUCAGGGUUAUAAAAGCCCGAACGGGUUAUCGUUGUAAAGAUAUCCGAUGAACUGUGGUAAGUUAGUGAAAGACAAAACUGACUAGUAUAGCUGGUUUUCCGCGAAACCUAUGUAAGUAGGUAAUUUAAUUAACAUCUUAGCAGGUACAGAACUGUGAUCUCGGACAAUAUCUAAGAUAUUUGUCAACAUCGGGGGGUUGUAGUGACUUUACCGGAGAGUAUUUGCACUCGGAAGGGCAAAGAUGAAUGUUAAAUAAUCGGACAUAGUGCGAUAAGGUUGUAUGUCUAAAGGGAAACAGCCCAGAACAAGAGUUAAGGUUCCAAAAUUAUUGUUAAGUGAAAUUAAGGAUGUUUUUUUUUAAAACAAUCAGGAAAUAGGCUUAGAAGCGGCCAUUUUUUGAAGACCUCGUAACAGAGCACUGAUUAAUAAAUUAGGAAAAAACGCCGAAAAUUUAACGGAUCUAAAUAAUAUACCGAAACCUUGUACACAAAUAAAAAUUAAAGCGCUCUUGCUUAGAUUUUAUGUUUACAUAAAUUUAAGCGCUGUGACUUAGGAUUUUUGUGGGGUAGCGGAACAUUGGAUUAAACAAAAUAUUAAUAUUUUUCUUAAAAUAUUAAAGAUCUUACAUAAAACAAUUGCGAUUUAUGUGUAUCUGUUAAAUCCAAGAGAGAAUGCUGACAUGAGUAACGAAAAAGGCUUUUAGCCUCGCCUGAAGCUUAUGGUUUCAUCUAAAAUCGGUGUCUAAAAAAAUUAAUCAAAAGAUAAUUUUGAUGACGUUUUAUGUUUUUUUUAUAUAAUAAUACCAAAACCUUUAACAAGUAAUAAAGGUUCUGGAAAAGUUUAUUUUAUUAUUUGAAGUGAAAUGUAUUUAAUACUCAUACUUAUUGGUACAAAAUUGUAAAUUAUAAUAUAUAAUACAUACUUUAUUAUGUUAUUGUGAUUUACAAUUUAUAGUUGAGUGAGUAAUAUAAAUAUAAUUUAACUAAGUAAUAGUCUUUAUCUAUUAUUAGAGAUAAUAAUUAUUAAUAAUUAAUUACCAUUAAAUUAUUAAUAUGUAUUUAUAUAUUAUUAUUAAUAGNNNNNNNNNNNNNNNNNNNNNNNNNNNNNNNNNNNNNNNNNNNNNNNNNNNNNNNNNNNNNNNNNNNNNNNNNNNNNNNNNNNNNNNNNNNNNNNNNNNNNNNNNNNNCGUACCUAGAAACUAACUCAAGUAAGCAAGUAGAGAAUACAAAGGCGUUUGAGAGAACAAUCAUUAAGGAACUCGGCAAAUUGACUCUGUACCUUUGGAAUAAGGAGGACCAUUAUUAUUAAAUUUAACAUAUAGUAAAGUAUGUAAUUAUAUAUGAAAAAUUAAAUUAAUAAUAAGAGGAAUCAUGAAAUAAUGUUGUACGACUGUUUAAUAAAAACACAGCACUCUGCAAAGAUAAAAAAUCAAAGUAUUGAGUGUGAUGUCUGCCCAAUGUCGGCUGGGUAACGGAUCUACCUUGAUUAUUAACUGAGGUUUUGAAGGACACCCCGAUUAAUGGCGGCCUUACCUAUGAGGGUCCUAAGGUAGCGAAAUACCUUGGCCGUUAAAUGCGGUCCUGCAUGAAUGACUUAACGAUGCAACAGCUGUCUCGAUGAUUGUCUCAGUGAAAUUGGAAUAGCAGUGCAGAUACUGUUUACCUCUAGAUAGACGAGAAGACCCUAUGCAGCUUUACUGUUACUAAUUAUAGGAGUGAAAUUUUAGGAUGAUUUAUAGUGUAUAAGGUAGUUGUUUAGAUAAUAAUGAAACACCUUUAUUCGAAUCCUUAUAUAUACUCUUAAUGAUUAGAAGGCAGUUUAUGCGGGGCACAGAUCCCACAAAAAGUACCUGGGUAUAUCCAAAGUUCAUAUUGUAAACUUGUAUAUUUAUAUACAAAUAUUUUAAUUUGUUCUAAUUAUUAUUAUAAUUAUACAGUUAUUAUUCGAUUAAAUUCUACAAUUAUUUUUUAUUUUAAGUAAGAUUUUAACUAUGCGGUGAAUAGAUGUAUUUUAAACUUUACCGGGCUUUGCACUAAUUUUAGUUCAAAGAUUUAAAAGUUUAUUUGUUAUAUUAAUAAAGUAUUUAUCUUUAUUAAUAUAAUGUUUAUUAAUACUUUAAAAGUUUAAUGGCUAAAUCUUGCUUUACUGUUUGACCUACAAGUCUAUCAGUCGCGUAAGCGGGGCAUAUGAUCACAAGAUGCAUUAAGGAAAGGUCUUGGAUUAUAGAAAAAGUUACGCUAGGGAUUUAUAACUGUGAGUCCUCCAAUAUUAUAAAAUAUUGGUAAU
Penicillium vulpinum is the source of this 3054-nucleotide ribosomal RNA. It matches the Rfam family "Bacterial large subunit ribosomal RNA". Lineage: Eukaryota; Fungi; Ascomycota; Eurotiomycetes; Eurotiales; Aspergillaceae. The record is from Rfam.